CCAAAGGCCGUGAACGGGAAUAGUAAAUCCUCCUGCCAGACCACAGAGAGCCGGGAAAGCUGAAAACCGGUGCCUGAGCGGGGCUUGAAUGGGCCCGGGAGCCGCCGCCCUAAAGUUUAUGACGAGUAGGCGCGGCCGCUUGGGAAGCGUUAUCAUCCCAGGGUAUCAUCCCGAGUUCCGGGACGUACCCCCCAACGAGAUGAUCUUAAGUCUUGGUGACUUCAGAUUAAUAAGGGUGGCACCGCAGAGCCCUCUGCCCCUUGA
RNAcentral lists this non-coding RNA (264 nucleotides) under Dehalogenimonas alkenigignens. RNAcentral's name for it is "T-box sequence". It matches the Rfam family "T-box leader". Rfam says of the family: Uncharged tRNA acts as the effector for transcription antitermination of genes in the T-box leader family. T-boxes are found upstream of many aminoacyl-tRNA synthetase genes and some amino acid biosynthetic genes usually in Gram-positive bacteria. The record is from RNAcentral. Lineage: Bacteria; Bacillati; Chloroflexota; Dehalococcoidia; Dehalococcoidales; Dehalococcoidaceae.